Hippocampus comes (tiger tail seahorse) is the source of this 528-nucleotide long non-coding RNA. RefSeq lists it as uncharacterized. The record is from RefSeq and is a predicted model, not a curated record. The transcript is spliced from 4 exons. NCBI's taxonomy places the organism in Eukaryota, Metazoa, Chordata, Actinopteri, Syngnathiformes, Syngnathidae.
UGGAGAACACCACGAAGCCGGCGAAGAUGCUUGUGGCGCUGUUCAAAAGGCACAGCGCCACGCAGUCCCUGUUGCGAGCGCACACCGCCUGCUGAAGUCGGGCAAGAGGUAGUAUUUCAGGCCCUCGCUGGCACCGGGCAGCGACACCCCUCGCAUGAAGAGGAUGAUGAGCAUCAGAAUUCCUCCUCGGCGGACUUCACCAUAAAGAAGGAUUCAUUCAGGGACCUGCAGAGGUGGAGCAAAGCACACAAUGAGCAAGUCAAGGACGGCGACGAGUCAACAAUUACCGCACAGACGCAAAAGCGGAGCAGCACAAUGUUUCCCAGCCGAGUUUCUUUUGGAUCGGUCGCACACAUUCGAUGACGCUCACCCUGAAACAUUGGGCAGAUCUUCCUCCAGGCAGUGACGACCCCCUGACUGGUGUACUGGCCCAGUGCCGUCUCCAGGAAAAAGACGGGGAUUCCGCCGAAGGCCAGGAACAGGAAGUAUGGGAUGAGGAAGACACCUGUGCGCCGUGGUGUGAGGAAA